This 253-nucleotide ribosomal RNA is filed under the name uncultured bacterium. Its description in RNAcentral is "partial 16S ribosomal RNA". It matches the Rfam family "Bacterial small subunit ribosomal RNA", at positions 524 to 776 of the family's 1533-position model. The record is from RNAcentral.
UACGUAGGGGGCUAGCGUUGUCCGGAAUCAUUGGGCGUAAAGCGCGCGUAGGCGGCCCGGUAAGUCCGUUGUAAAAGUCCAGGGCUCAACCCUGGAAAGCCGAUGGAUACUGCCGGGCUAGAGUCCGGAAGAGGCGAGUGGAAUUCCUGGUGUAGCGGUGGAAUGCGCAGAUAUCAGGAGGAACACCAAUAGCGAAGGCAGCUCGCUGGGACGGCACUGACGCUGAGGCGCGAAAGCGUGGGGAGCAAACAGG